This 212-nucleotide ribosomal RNA is filed under the name Staphylococcus aureus. RNAcentral describes it as "partial 16S ribosomal RNA". It matches the Rfam family "Bacterial small subunit ribosomal RNA", at positions 1 to 206 of the family's 1533-position model. The record is from RNAcentral. Lineage: Bacteria; Bacillati; Bacillota; Bacilli; Caryophanales; Staphylococcaceae.
UUUAUGGAGAGUUUGAUCCUGGCUCAGGAUGAACGCUGGCGGCGUGCCUAAUACAUGCAAGUCGAGCGAACGGACGAGAAGCUUGCUUCUCUGAUGUUAGCGGCGGACGGGUGAGUAACACGUGGAUAACCUACCUAUAAGACUGGGAUAACUUCGGGAAACCGGAGCUAAUACCAGAUAAUAUUUUGAACCGCAUGGUUCAAAAGUGAAAG